UACGAAGGGGGCUAGCGUUGUUCGGAUUUACUGGGCGUAAAGCGCACGUAGGCGGAUCGUUAAGUCGGGGGUGAAAUCCUGGAGCUCAACUCCAGAACUGCCUUCGAUACUGGCGAUCUUGAGUCCGGAAGAGGUGAGUGGAACUCCUAGUGUAGAGGUGGAAUUCGUAGAUAUUAGGAAGAACACCAGUGGCGAAGGCGGCUCACUGGUCCGGUACUGACGCUGAGGCACGAAAGUGUGGGGAUCAAACAGG
This 253-nucleotide ribosomal RNA is filed under the name uncultured bacterium. RNAcentral's name for it is "partial 16S ribosomal RNA". It matches the Rfam family "Bacterial small subunit ribosomal RNA", at positions 524 to 776 of the family's 1533-position model. The record is from RNAcentral.